CUACGGGUGACAAAUCGAAGUUGCUGGAACAAGAAGAAAAGCAAAAAGUUUGCAGAAUUUCUCAAAGGUACAAUUUUCUAUCACAAUUUCUAUCUAAACGCAGAAAGAUCCUUGGUGGAAAUCGAAAUCCGUUUUUAUUUUUGCUGCACAUGAUUAAGUAGAUUCACAACAGUAGGACUAUUAAUUAGUAUAUUUUUUGAAGGAAUAACUUUAGAACUCCUUCUACAAAAAAGACAAAGAUACCAUUGUGCAAAAUCAACAUUUCAUCAUGGACAGUCACAAGCCAUAUGUCAAGAUUUCUUAUUAAUUUUGUGUGUGUCUAUUAUUUAACCAAUAUAAUCUAUAAAGACUUAUAACAAACAAUUAAGAAUAUACCUUAAAAUUGAAUUUAAGCUGUGUAAUCUGCUUGAAGAUUCUAGUAAGUUUUUUAUCGUGAACUAAAUUCAAGAUUUCAUGAUAGACAAUAUUUUUGAUACAAGAAAUAUGUGAUUUUUUUUUUAGACAAAAGGUUUGAUCAAAACUUUUACAUUUUCCCUUGUUCUAGCUCGGGACAAUGCAACAUACAAUUAACCAUGGAAAACUACGGGUUCUAGAAGAUAUAAUUCAACAAAAUUUAGAGUUUGACUUUGAGCUUUGUUAAUGGUCAUUGCAAAACAAGGACGGAGUGAAAACUGAGUUCUUUUAAAUGGUACAAACUGUUUAUCGCCUUCAAGUGGAAUGAGUAGAAUUUUAGGUAAAAUUACUUGCUUUCCACAAUAUUCUCCUGUUUCAAUUUCAGUCAAAAUAACAUUUUGCUUAAAGUCACGGACAAAUAAGUUUAGUCCCAUUGCAUAAACCUUCUACAUGAUUAAUAUUUCUAAGCAAUAUAACUGGACAAUUUUUUUUUUCAAUAUGAAUUCAUGUGGAGGUAUACCGUUUGGAGCUAGAUUAUUCAAAAAAUAUUCAUCAAUAAAUUCUUCACUUUUAUCAAUAACUUCACUAAAACUAAAAUAUGUAACUUUCUCUCGCGAAAUUCGUUUAAGUAACAUACUAUUUAUUAAAUCUACACAUUCAUUUUUUGGGGUUAAAAUAAUUCUAUUCAUCAUAAUAUUUAGGUUGUCUCCAUAUAUUUGGAAAUUAGGAAACACAAUGUCAAUUAAUUCCUUCAGUGAUUUAAAUUCAUCUUCAAAAUUGAUGGUAAUAUCUUCCAGAAUUGUAAUCAUUUGGCAUGAAUAUAUUAUCUCAAUUCCAUUCCCAAUGUUCAACAAAUAUUCAUAAAAUGAAGGACUAAUUUAGCUCUCAUAUUUUCAACUAGUGGUAGCUGUGUAAAAGAAUGCUAUAAAUGUGAAAAAACUAAACUUCACUUUAUUAUAUCGUCUUUUGUUCCUCUCUGUACUAUUGGUAAAACCUGACGGAAAUCUCCUCCACACACAAUUACUUUUCCAUCAAACAGUAAUUGACAUUCAAUAAUGUCUCUUAACAUUUUAUCUAAAGCCUCAAAAGCAUAUUUAUGAACCAUUGAUGUUUCAUCCCAAAUUAUUAGUCUAGCCAAUGCUAAAAGUUUACCAAGGGCAUAUUGUUUACUCAUAGAACAGCGCAUAUUAGAACUUAUUUGAAGCAAAAUUUUGAAUUUUGAAUUUCCUAUUUGACCAACUGGUAAUAAAAAUGCAGCUACACCUGAUGAUGUUGUUGCUAAUACGAUAAGAUUUCGAGAUCAUCACUAGAUGGUAAUGCUUUGUACAAAUACGUUUUUCCAAUGUCUUUUGGGCCAUCGAUAAAAAACAUUCCAUUCUUAUUACUUAAAACACAAUCCAAAAUAAUAUCAUAGGCAUCUUGUUGCUUUUUAUUUAAACUCUCAGUGUAAUGUAUGUCUGACUGAAAAUUAAUAUUGGUUGUUUCUUCAACAAUCAUGGUUCAAAGAUAUCAUCAUCAUUCAAACUUAAAUCAAAAUUUACCAAACAAAAAUCAAUUAUAUUCUUACCAGCACCUUCUAAAAAAGAAUUUAUACAGUGUAAAGCUUUCAUCUCAGUACCUUGUUGUGUCAAACCUUUAUGUAAAUAAUCUUCUAUCAUAAAACCUUUAAACUUGUCCCAUAAAUUCCUUGGAUUUGUAGGCAACAUAAACUCAACAUAUUGGCAAAAAGUCACUGUAAUGAUAUGGGUAUUUGGUAAGCGACUGCUUCAAAUAAACACAUUUUAGAAUAGCUAUUUCUACAAAGAAGAUCAUGCGAAAGUGCUGCUUCACAAUAAGUAGAUAGAACAACACUAUUGACUAUUUUUAAAUCUUCAAAAAAUAUUUUGGUCCUCUAAUAUGAUUAAGUCAAACUCUUAAAAAAUACCUCCUACCCUCAUAUGGAUUAGUGCGACUAUUCUACCAAUAACAUCCUUGCUUUUUCUGGGACUCCAAAUUCGCAUGGAUGCAUCCCAUACAAAAUAGGUUGGAAAUUUUUUAUAUAGUAGAAUUUUUCUCUUUUCAUUUGAAAUAUUCAUUCUAAAGAAUUCUGUUAACAUUGUUCGGUGAACAAAGUCUUUAUUUAUAACUUUUGAUAAAUCAUCUGUCUCAUUGUAUGUAACUGUUUGAGCAUCUUUAGUAUGUAACUGUAAAGAGAUUAUUGUACAAGAUAUAUCGAAUAAAUCAAAACUAAAUAUCUUCCAUAUAGUUUCAGGUGGAGAUAUCCAUCUAACUGUUUGGUAGUUUGAAAUCUUAUCAACGAAUUGUUCAUUUGUUUCUUUAUUUAAAGUAAAAUGAAUGCAGUUAUGUCCCUUAUAUACAUACUUAUAUAGAUAUUUAACAGCCUUAACAGAAGAACAUAUUUCUACAAUAAUGUGACAGUCAUAUUUAGCUUAAACGUAAGGAUUAUAUGAUACAACCCAUUUAUUGUCCAACAUACAACAUCUUACUUUAACACUUACACCAUCAUUGCAACGCUUGUAAAG
This 2915-nucleotide long non-coding RNA is filed under the name Olea europaea subsp. europaea. The record is from RNAcentral. Lineage: Eukaryota; Viridiplantae; Streptophyta; Magnoliopsida; Lamiales; Oleaceae.